RNAcentral lists this non-coding RNA (27 nucleotides) under Mus musculus (house mouse). Lineage: Eukaryota; Metazoa; Chordata; Mammalia; Rodentia; Muridae. The record is from RNAcentral.
UGGGUUUAGCAUAUAGCUUAGUGCUGC